Aedes aegypti (yellow fever mosquito) is the source of this 145-nucleotide long non-coding RNA. RefSeq lists it as uncharacterized. The record is from RefSeq and is a predicted model, not a curated record. Lineage: Eukaryota; Metazoa; Arthropoda; Insecta; Diptera; Culicidae. The transcript is spliced from 2 exons.
AACGCAUCGUGACGUUGUGAGGGUUGCAUAACUUCCGGAUCCGCGCGCCCGUUCAACCGGAGAGGUCAUGGAACAGGUUUGACCAAUCGCCGCAAUGUAAAAUCAAAAUUCGAGCCAAGGCCACAGUGCGCGCGUAUCAAUAUAC